CCCAGGUCAGGCUCAGGUGUGCCCAGGUGAGGCUCAGGUGUGCCCAGGUGAGGCUCAGGUGUACCCAGGUGGGGCUCAGGUGUACCCAGGUGAGCCCAGGU
This is a long non-coding RNA of Vidua chalybeata, 101 nucleotides long. RefSeq lists it as uncharacterized. The transcript is spliced from 4 exons. The record is from RefSeq and is a predicted model, not a curated record. Lineage: Eukaryota; Metazoa; Chordata; Aves; Passeriformes; Viduidae.